UAAACAUGUGCAUUAGCUAAGCAUGGCUAGC
This 31-nucleotide non-coding RNA is filed under the name Mus musculus (house mouse). Lineage: Eukaryota; Metazoa; Chordata; Mammalia; Rodentia; Muridae. The record is from RNAcentral.